Molecule: ribosomal RNA, 206 nt
Filed under: uncultured bacterium
Lineage: Bacteria
Description: partial 16S ribosomal RNA
Rfam family: Bacterial small subunit ribosomal RNA
Source: RNAcentral
CGUGUAGGCGGCCAAACAGGUCCGUUGUGAAAACUGGAGGCUCAACCUCCAGACGUCGACGGAAACCGUAUGGCUAGAGUCCGGAAGAGGAGAGUGGAAUUCCUGGUGUAGCGGUGAAAUGCGCAGAUAUCAGGAAGAACACCUAUGGCGAAGGCAGCUCUCUGGGACGGUACUGACGCUGAGACGCGAAAGCGUGGGAGCGAACA